UACGAAGGGGACUAGCGUUGUUCGGAAUCACUGGGCGUAAAGCGCGUGUAGGCGGCCCGACAAGUCCGCCGUGAAAGUCCGAGGCUCAACCUCGGAAUGCCGGUGGAAACUGUCGGGCUUGAGUUCGGAAGAGGCGAGUGGAAUUCCUGGUGUAGCGGUGAAAUGCGCAGAUAUCAGGAGGAACACCAAUGGCGAAGGCAGCUCGCUGGGACGACACUGACGCUGAGACGCGAAAGCGUGGGGAGCAAACAGG
Molecule: ribosomal RNA, 253 nt
Filed under: uncultured bacterium
Lineage: Bacteria
Description: partial 16S ribosomal RNA
Rfam family: Bacterial small subunit ribosomal RNA
Source: RNAcentral